Molecule: ribosomal RNA, 451 nt
Filed under: uncultured Allobrachymonas sp.
Lineage: Bacteria; Pseudomonadati; Pseudomonadota; Betaproteobacteria; Burkholderiales; Comamonadaceae
Description: bacterial SSU rRNA
Rfam family: Bacterial small subunit ribosomal RNA
Source: RNAcentral
AAGCGGUGGAUGAUGUGGUUUAAUUCGAUGCAACGCGAAAAACCUUACCCACCUUUGACAUGGCAGGAAUCCCGAAGAGAUUUGGGAGUGCUCGAAAGAGAACCUGCACACAGGUGCUGCAUGGCUGUCGUCAGCUCGUGUCGUGAGAUGUUGGGUUAAGUCCCGCAACGAGCGCAACCCUUGCCAUUAGUUGCUACGAAAGGGCACUCUAAUGGGACUGCCGGUGACAAACCGGAGGAAGGUGGGGAUGACGUCAAGUCCUCAUGGCCCUUAUAGGUGGGGCUACACACGUCAUACAAUGGCCGGUACAGAGGGUAGCCAACCCGCGAGGGGGAGCCAAUCCCACAAAGCCGGUCGUAGUCCGGAUCGCAGUCUGCAACUCGACUGCGUGAAGUCGGAAUCGCUAGUAAUCGCGGAUCAGCAUGUCGCGGUGAAUACGUUCCCGGGUCUU